This 355-nucleotide long non-coding RNA is filed under the name Homo sapiens (human). RNAcentral describes it as "non-protein coding LINC02401:18". Lineage: Eukaryota; Metazoa; Chordata; Mammalia; Primates; Hominidae. The record is from RNAcentral.
GGAAGAGAGGAUAAAGGGAGGAAUAAACUUGAUAUAAGCAUCUUUGCAUAAUUAACAACUGGGUCAAAUUUUCUUCAUUUCAUUGAGAUUCUUGAUACAAGCCUCUGCUGAUGAAUUGGAUUCCAAAAAGAUAUUGUUGUCCAGGCCACACCAUACGGGACUUACCACUCCCAGUUGCUAACAUCUGCACGUAUUUGCCUGGAGGUCUCCUCUGGUCACCAGAUCCUACUCUGCCUGGGCCACAUGACAAGGUGAUGUGCUGAGGAACAAAAGCCCCCAGGAGUAUCCCUCAAGCAGUGUUGGACUGGAGUUGAGGUACUACAUGCCAAUGCAACUGGCCCCCAAUUAAAAAUUC